RNAcentral lists this ribosomal RNA (266 nucleotides) under uncultured bacterium. RNAcentral describes it as "partial 16S ribosomal RNA". It matches the Rfam family "Bacterial small subunit ribosomal RNA", at positions 88 to 354 of the family's 1533-position model. The record is from RNAcentral.
CCGACGACCGGCGCACGGGUGAGUAACACGUAUGGAACCUGCCCGCAGCAGGGGGAUAAGCGGAAGAAAUUCCGUCUAAUACCGCGUAACAACGUUGGGAGGCAUCUCCCGAUGUUUAAAGAUUUAUCGGCUGCGGAUGGCCAUGCGGCGCAUUAGCUAGUCGGCGGGGUAACGGCCCACCGAGGCGACGAUGCGUAGGGGUUCUGAGAGGAAGGUCCCCCACACUGGUACUGAGACACGGACCGGACUCCUACGGGAGGCAGCAG